CAGUUUUGAGCCGUAAGUGUCGAAUUGGCCGGGGUGAAAUUUACAAAUAAGAGGCAAUUUACGGAAUGAAGUGCAUAUUUGAACUCCUAAAUAAUAAUAAUUGCUAGAAUUGAAGUUUCAGCGGCUAGAAUUGAGUUUCACUUAUUUAAAAAAAAAUCAGUUGAGUAGCCUUGAUCUUGAUAGUAUGACGUAAUGACUUGCAGGAGCGUAUACAUGCUUCCUCUGAGCUAGCUUAAAGUGGGGUUGUCAUUUUAGCAGGGACCUCAGGAAAACUGGAACAGUGAAGAAACGGUACGGAUGGCACAUAUAUUUGAGCUUAUUUUCAGAUUUUACAGUGUUACUGGAGUAUGGAACAGUGUAGCAGUUGGGGCUAUCAGUUUCAGGAAAUUUUCUGCAGCGAUUUAAAAAUUGGCAAAUUUAGCUUUUUUCGUCAUCAGUUUCCGCGACCGGGAGAGCACAAAAUUCAGGUCUUGUAAACAGAAAACUAGAUAUUAGAGAUGUAUUGUAGAUGGUUUGUAACGAUAGACAUACAGUGAUGUUAAUGUUGCAAUAUCUUUAUUUCAGGUGUGUGGUUACAGACUUUUGUGUGAGGUUUUGAAAGUUAGGUAGGCGACUCUAGGCUGAGGAGCUCAGAAAACUGUUUACUGCCUCCUUAAGAGCAAAUCUUGAAAAUUUGUGUGUGGUUACAGACUUUUGUGUGAGGUUUUGAAAGUUAGGUAGGCGACUCUAGGCUGAGGAGCUCAGAAAACUGUUUACUGCCUCCACAAACAAAACAA
This is a long non-coding RNA of Mercenaria mercenaria, 776 nucleotides long. RefSeq lists it as uncharacterized. Lineage: Eukaryota; Metazoa; Mollusca; Bivalvia; Venerida; Veneridae. The record is from RefSeq and is a predicted model, not a curated record. The transcript has 2 exons.